RNAcentral lists this long non-coding RNA (570 nucleotides) under Salmo trutta (river trout). Its description in RNAcentral is "lncRNA (ENSSTUG00000004929.1)". The record is from RNAcentral. Lineage: Eukaryota; Metazoa; Chordata; Actinopteri; Salmoniformes; Salmonidae.
AGUUCAACCUUAAAGAAAUACCAAAUGUACUGAUGACAGGGCGUAAUGGCCAGAUCAUAUUAAUUGUCUUGUUUGAUAAAAAUGUAUGUCUCUAAUAUUGUUAGCAAUACUCACAAUGUAUGUAUAUCUUUCCUGUAAAUUGCAUACUGGUAAAUGUAGACCACCUCAUAACAACUUAGGUAUAGGCCUAUGGAUUAUGAUGAAAUCAGUUUGUGCCUAAUUCCUACAUUUCCUGUGUGACAGAUCAAAUAGACAGUGUCCAUCUAAGAUGGGAUGGUGAUUAUAGGAGUAGUUGCCAGGCAACUAGGGAGAGGAACCAUGGUGAUACUAAGGGAAGAGGAGGGAGAAACAAGGGGCGUCUGAUGAGGAGGACAGUGUCUUUAUGGAUAGUUCAACAUGUAUUGCAACAUUGUUUCCAUGUAAGUACACCAUGGUCUUGUAGGCUAACCCUUUGUACUGGGAGUAUACCCUGCAAAUAGCCUCCUCUCUUAUUUCUUAUUUUGUGUGUUUUUUAAAAUGUUCCAAAUUUUAAUUAGUUAAACUUUUUUGAUAUUGAGUACUGCACUGUUG